AACGCACAUUGCGCCCUCUGGUAUUCCGGGGGGCAUGCUUGUUCGAGCGUCAUUACACACCUCAAGCCCCGGCUUGGUAUUGGGUGCAUGUCCCCUGGGGACCCACCUGAAAAGUAGCGGCGAUGCGGCUGGACUUCGAGCGUAGUAAUUUACAAACCCGCUAUGAAGGCCCGGGCGUUGUCUGCCGGACAACCCACUAAUUUCUAUGGUUGACCUCGGAUCAAGUAGGAGUACCCGCUGAACUUAA
Molecule: unclassified non-coding RNA, 247 nt
Filed under: uncultured fungus
Lineage: Eukaryota; Fungi
Description: sequence contains ITS2
Source: RNAcentral